RNAcentral lists this ribosomal RNA (468 nucleotides) under uncultured bacterium. RNAcentral's name for it is "partial 16S ribosomal RNA". It matches the Rfam family "Bacterial small subunit ribosomal RNA", at positions 28 to 507 of the family's 1533-position model. The record is from RNAcentral.
GACGAACGCUGGCGGCGUGCUUAACACAUGCAAGUCGAACGGAAAGGCCCUGCUUUUGUGGGGUGCUCGAGUGGCGAACGGGUGAGUAACACGUGAGUAACCUGCCCUUGACUUUGGGAUAACUUCAGGAAACUGGGGCUAAUACCGGAUAGGAGCUCCUGCUGCCUGGUGGGGGUUGGAAAGUUUCGGCGGUUGGGGAUGGACUCGCGGCUUAUCAGCUUGUUGGUGGGGGAGUGGCUUACCAAGGCUUUGACGGGUAGCCGGCCUGAGAGGGUGACCGGCCACAUGGGGACUGAGAGACGGCCCAGACUCCUACGGGAGGCAGCAGUGGGGAAUAUGGCACAAUGGGCGGAAGCCUGAUGCAGCAACGCCGCGUGCGGGAUGACGGCCUUCGGGUUGUAAACCGCUUUCGCCUGUGACGAAGCGUGAGUGACGGUAAUGGGUAAAGAAGCACCGGCUAACUACGUG